Molecule: microRNA precursor, 61 nt
Filed under: Pristionchus pacificus
Lineage: Eukaryota; Metazoa; Nematoda; Chromadorea; Rhabditida; Neodiplogasteridae
Description: mir-8364 microRNA precursor family
Rfam family: mir-8364 microRNA precursor family
Source: Rfam by way of RNAcentral
UCUUCAUUUCACACGCUCUCUCGCCUGUCUGACCGACGAGAGAGCCUGGGAAAGGGAGAGA